Salvia miltiorrhiza (redroot sage) is the source of this 515-nucleotide long non-coding RNA. RefSeq lists it as uncharacterized. The transcript has 2 exons. The record is from RefSeq and is a predicted model, not a curated record. Lineage: Eukaryota; Viridiplantae; Streptophyta; Magnoliopsida; Lamiales; Lamiaceae.
GCAUAUAAUUACACUCGAUAGCAUUGCCAUUCACAAAUCCCACUCAUCAAUCUCAUUACUCACACAAACGCGGAAGGAGCUUUGAUGAGCCAUGGCCCAAUAUGAUCAACAACAUACAUUUCCUGCCGGAGGAGUUGUGGCUCCUUCGACAGCAUAUGUAAUGGUACCUCCACCAAUGGGCUAUCCGACAAGGGACACCAACCCCAAAGACCCCUUCACAGCCACUGCCGAGACAACAAGUAGAGGCGACGGCUUCUUGAAAGGAUGGUAAUCAUCUCCACUUAACUAGAAUGUAUGGCCGGACUCUGUUGUUGCUGGUGCCUCGAUUGCUGUUUCUGAUCAAUCACAUACAUACUUAUUCAUUCAUUUUUUAUUUUUAUUUUAGAGUUUAUGUUUAUUGGAUUAUUUGAUUGAUAUGCAACCUAUGCUACUGCUGCUUUGUGCAACACAGAUUUUAAAUGUAUUGUAUUUACCAAUAUCCUAAUUAUUCCCUGUUGAUCAAUUCUCGGACGAAA